UCUUUAUCCAGAGAGGUGGAGGGACUGGCCCGAUGAAGCCCGGCAACCGUCACGUAUAUUUUGUGACAAGGUGCCAAUUCCUGCAGGACAUUUACGUGUCCUGGGAGAUAAGGA
This 114-nucleotide non-coding RNA is filed under the name Brevibacillus brevis. Its description in RNAcentral is "SAM-I sequence". It matches the Rfam family "SAM riboswitch aptamer (S box leader)". From Rfam's summary of the family: The SAM riboswitch is found upstream of a number of genes which code for proteins involved in methionine or cysteine biosynthesis in Gram-positive bacteria. The SAM riboswitch acts at the level of transcription termination control. The predicted structure consists of a complex stem-loop region followed by a single stem loop terminator region. The record is from RNAcentral. RNAcentral also lists the same sequence under 1 other name. Lineage: Bacteria; Bacillati; Bacillota; Bacilli; Caryophanales; Paenibacillaceae.